This 343-nucleotide long non-coding RNA is filed under the name Salvia miltiorrhiza (redroot sage). RNAcentral's name for it is "long non-coding RNA (SMIL_LNC002267)". The record is from RNAcentral. Lineage: Eukaryota; Viridiplantae; Streptophyta; Magnoliopsida; Lamiales; Lamiaceae.
CCGAAGGAAAAUCAGUGGCAGCCUGCUUCAUCUACUGCUGUCGGCCGGAGAUCUGAGGGAGAGGCGGCGAGGCAAGGGCCUUGUCGCUGCUCUGAGCCGGGUUUGGGUAGAAAUGAAGGCAGCGUCCUUCAUCGACUGGAGGCGCGAUCGCCGGAGACCGAUAGAGAGGGAGAUCGGAGAAAGUUUCGAGGGAGAUAAGAGACGGCGGUGGCUGUCGUUGCAGUAGCCGAAAAAGGGUGAAGUGAGCUGGAGCCCGUCGCCGCUUGCUCCGGCGAGCUCCAGCGGCCGUGAGUUCGAGCAGUCGAGAGGGAGACGAGCAGUGAGGGACAGUGAGAGACUGAUG